Molecule: long non-coding RNA, 1098 nt
Filed under: Vulpes vulpes (red fox)
Lineage: Eukaryota; Metazoa; Chordata; Mammalia; Carnivora; Canidae
Description: lncRNA (ENSVVUG00000008218.1)
Source: RNAcentral
CGGGAACCUCACCUGACUACCGCAAAGCUCUCUGAGAUCACCAAGGGAGAUCUUAUUUUUUCACAAAAGAACCAGAAAUCUUUGAUGCUUCGAGGACAAAUCAGACCUGAGGAUUCUGAACAGGCUCCAUGGAAAAGUCCCUGUUCCAGAGGCCUAGCUGUCACAAUCCUGAUUUCUAUACCUCUUCAGUCUAGAUGCUUGCAUCGCAGGGAGACAAGAACAGGUGGAGUGCCCACACUGCAGUCUCCAGACGCAGCAGAUUUCCUUGCUCAGCUGCUUCAUUUCACCUCAGGCAAACUCUGCUCUCCAGCCCAGCAUUUCUACUGCUCAGUCAGGCUGCCCUCCCCUUUGAAAAUUAUACAAGGUCUUGGACAGCCCAAUCCUUGUGCCUCAGCUUUAAGAGGUCCAGUCGGCACCCCCCGGCCUUCCACUGCCUUUUCAUUCUCAGGUGGCUCUCCCAGGUCCACAGUGUCAUUCAUCAUUUUUAAUAAACCAGAGGAAACCUCUUCAUCAGUAUCAGUGCCUCCAGUUCACUUCAUGACAUUAUCAUUUAUUGAAUUUUACCAUGUAACUCAAUAAAUUCAUUUUUACUCAAAAUGCAAUUUUUAAAACAGAUAAAUGUGUUUAUUGGUUCCCUUGCUAGAAGCCUUUAUCAUCUGAAACAGAAACCUUUUCUUGCUCGUCUUUCUCCAGCAGCUUAUAGGGAGUUAUAUUAAACUGGGUCUUUUUAGAGUUUCUUAUAUUCCACUUACUAACAUCUGUCCAAAGGGAAAAAGGUCUAAAGAAUUUUUCAGAAAAUAAGGAUUUUUCUGAGUUCAGUGUUUUCUUGACAGGGAGAGAACUUACAAGUAUUCACCAAUAUAACGCAUAAAAUAAGGACUUAAUUAAAGCCAUCAAGACUGCACUUUGGAGAGUUCUCUUCUACGUUGGCUUUUAGAUUCUGACUAAAUAAGAAGAAACUUUGAAAGGGGUAAAAUCUCAGAUACACUUGAAGUACCCAAGUUUUAAGGAACCUAUUUUAGAGAAAAUGAGAACCCUUGCUGAUUCUGGUUCAUUUUUAGAGACACAUUCAAACCCUAAGCUUUUGUUAUUUCCAAA